Non-coding RNA from Microcebus murinus (gray mouse lemur), 1933 nucleotides. The record is from RefSeq and is a predicted model, not a curated record. NCBI's taxonomy places the organism in Eukaryota, Metazoa, Chordata, Mammalia, Primates, Cheirogaleidae.
GAAACAUAGUGAGACUCUGCCUCAAAAAAAAAAAAAAAGUCCAGUGGCAGUGGUGCUUCCCUGAAUCUCGAAAUGCUGGCUAAAAGAUCACUGAAAUUGGAUGGUCUGGUAGAAGAAAAUUCAUUUGAUUCUUAAAAAAUCACAAGGAAACAAAGUAUUAUACCUUACUCUCCAACAACUGGAACUUGUCAAAUGAGCCCAUUUGCUUCUCCCAGAAGUUCUGAAGAACAAGAGCACAGAAAUGGACCAUCAAAUGGAAAGAGAAAAAAAUGUAAUCCUCUCAGUUUAACUGAAAGAAAGGAAUCUUCAAUGGAAGACAAUGAUGAAUUCAUGAUGUUGCUAUCUAAAGUUGAGAAAUCAUCAGAAGAAAUCAUGGAGAUAAUGCAAAAUUUAAUUAGUAUACAGGCUUUGGAGAGCAGUAGAGUGCUUGAAAAUCUCAUUGGUAUCUCCGGUACAUCAUGUUUCUUAAAAAGAGAAAUGCAGAAAACCAAAGAACUGAUGACAAAAGUAAUAAAACAAAAACUAUUUGAAAAGAAGAGUUCAGGACUUCUUCACAAAGAAUGUCAUCCUGACAGCUAUGAAUUCCUUAAAUCCCUUUUAAACUGAGGCAUUUAGAAGAAAUGCACUCACUAUGAGCAGCAGCCUCUGCAUCUGCCUGAUCAUAUUUAAAGGAAGAGAGAAAUAUUUGUAAUUAAUCUGCCCAGUAAAUACCAGCUCAUAGCACUAGGCAGGUGCGUGUCUAGAUAAAAUUUCUUGCAGCUAAUUUAAACUAUCUACACACACCAGUAGAUAAUCUCAAUGUAAAUAAUACAUUUCUUCUUGACCCGUAUUUUGUAUCACAUACAUUUCUGUAUACUUUUAUCAUUUGUGGAUAGACUUAAUAAAGCACAUAUGAAAAUGGAAAAAAAAAAACCCUCAUGUUAACAGUGUUAACACUACAGAAUUAUUCUCUCUAGAUCAGUGAUCCUCAGGCAGUGAUUUGGAGGGGAUAAAGGAGCACUUCAGUGUUAGAGCUACUGCCCACACCCCCAUUUCCUGAACAUAUCUGCCACAACCACUGGUGUGAUGAGCCCCAAGUGUCAGAGGAAGUCUUUCAUAUCCUCAAGGUACAACUGAAGAAAACCACUCUUCUAGCUACUUAUCUUUACAAACACUUCUAACUGGUAAGGAAAAAAGUAUUUAAGAGAAACAUAAUAUUUAAUAGUAAUUUAUAAUAAACAUGAAAUAUUUUAAGAGACUGUUUCUCAUUUGUUUUGCCCAAAAUCAGCCAAUACAUUCAUUCAUCAUGGAAAUGUACUUUGUCGACAAAGAAAAACACUCUAUUCAUAUAAGAAUAAAAAUAUGGGUUUUUUUCUCUAGUAACUGACAGAUUUUCAGUGGUAUACGCAAACCCUAAACACCUAUAAUCACGGACUACAAUGUAUUAUAUAUAAAGGUAUACAGUGUGAAGCCUUGAAGGGAGUGAAAUUAUUCAACCUAUACAAGAGGAUGUUGGCAUGCUGGCACCAUACCCUACGGGGUGGAAGGGAAGCAAAAACUUGAAUGCAAUCAAUUUGAUACUGUUUAAGUUCCUACUAACAAGUAACCCUAAAGAGAAAACCUAUAUUUAGCCCACUAAAAUCAAACAAGGGGAAGCAUGAAGUAGGAAGGCAGGCAAUUUCAUAUGAAUGAGCCAUACCAAUCAGAAGAAAAAGUAAAAUCACCUUAUGAUAAACACAUUUAUAAACCCUAGUAUAUGAUUGUUUACAAAACUUUAUGGGGGGGGGUGUGUACAUCAUAAUCUAAAUGUCCAACUACAAGGGAACUGUUAUGUAAAAGAAUAAUAUAUAUCCAUCCUCAUUAGCAUAGUGGUUAGUAAUAUAUCCAAAAAAGAAAAAAGAGGCUGGACGUAGUGGCGCCUGCCCAUAAUCCCAGCACUUUGGGAGACUGAGGC